Molecule: long non-coding RNA, 609 nt
Filed under: Solanum tuberosum (potato)
Lineage: Eukaryota; Viridiplantae; Streptophyta; Magnoliopsida; Solanales; Solanaceae
Description: long non-coding RNA (STUB_LNC008722)
Source: RNAcentral
AGUUACCUUCAAUUUGCCUUCAUGAACAUCAUCAAUAUCCCAUCCUUAUUAAGUUAAUCAAAUCCUCUAGGUGUAGUUUUCUUGAAUUAUUGUAAAUUUUCGUUUGAUGGAGGAAAAGGAAGAACUAAACAUAAAAGACUGGGAUCGUCAUAUCAUAAAGAUAAUAAAAGGUAGACGCAAAAGAUGGUUUUGGUGAUGGUGCUUGGUGGGAAUUAUUAUCAUGAAGAUUAAUCUUGAUUAGUCCCAUGGAGUAAGGUAAUGGACAUGUUCUUCAUGGUGUGGUGGUUAAUUAAGGGCAACUUCUAAUCCUUUGGCAUUUGAGUCUCUUGAUGGGCUCUAGGAAUUUAAUUAUAGUAGUAAAAAGAAGACAAUUAUCUCAAAGGCAAGGCAUAUUCUAUAUGCUAAUUAAUCUUGUUCUUUACUUUGUUUUUAUUGAGUUCUAUUACUAAAUGUUGUAUGUGUAUGUAAUCUACUUAAUAUUAUGUAUUAGGCCUAAUAUGGCCAGAAUAAUGGUUUAGUGUUGUAUAAUGGUUUGAUUGUGUGUUGUUUAUGAUUUGGUUUGUUUAAAUUAAUGCAUUAUGUUUUCCUAGGUUAAUGUAUGAAGUUUGU